CCGGACCAAGGCGCCCGCCGGAGGACCAACCAAAACUCUUUUUGUAUACCCCCUCGCGGGUUUUUUAUAAUCUGAGCCUUCUCGGCGCCUCUCGUAGGCGUUUCGAAAAUGAAUCAAAACUUUCAACAACGGAUCUCUUGGUUCUGGCAUCGAUGAAGAACGCAGCGAAAUGCGAUAAGUAAUGUGAAUUGCAGAAUUCAGUGAAUCAUCGAAUCUUUGAACGCACAUUGCGCCCGCCAGUAUUCUGGCGGGCAUGCCUGUCCGAGCGUCAUUUCAACCCUCGAACCCCUCCGGGGGGUCGGCGUUGGGGAUCGGCCCUGCCUCUUGGCGGUGGCCGUCUCCGAAAUACAGUGGCGGUCUCGCCGCAGCCUCUCCUGCGCAGUAGUUUGCACACUCGCAUCGGGAGCGCGGCGCGUCCACAGCCGUUAAACACCCAACUUCUGAAAUGUUGACCUCGGAUCAGGUAGGAAUACCCGCUGAACUUAAGCAUAUCAAUAA
This 498-nucleotide ribosomal RNA is filed under the name Trichoderma harzianum. RNAcentral describes it as "eukaryotic LSU rRNA". The stretch from base 118 to 271 matches the Rfam family "5.8S ribosomal RNA". Lineage: Eukaryota; Fungi; Ascomycota; Sordariomycetes; Hypocreales; Hypocreaceae. The record is from RNAcentral.